CAGUCGCCACGGGAAUACGUAGGGUGCAAGCGUUAAUCGGAAUUACUGGGCGUAAAGCGUGCGCAGGCGGUUAUAUAAGACAGAUGUGAAAUCCCCGGGCUCAACCUGGGAACUGCAUUUGUGACUGUAUAGCUAGAGUACGGCAGAGGGGGAUGGAAUUCCGCGUGUAGCAGUGAAAUGCGUAGAUAUGCGGAGGAACACCGAUGGCGAAGGCAAUCCCCUGGGCCUGUACUGACGCUCAUGCACGAAAGCGUGGGGAGCAAACAGGAUUAGAGACCCGCGUAGUCCCUGUCUCUUAUAA
Molecule: ribosomal RNA, 301 nt
Filed under: uncultured bacterium
Lineage: Bacteria
Description: partial 16S ribosomal RNA
Rfam family: Bacterial small subunit ribosomal RNA
Source: RNAcentral